Small nuclear RNA from Nycticebus coucang (slow loris), 107 nucleotides. The record is from RefSeq and is a predicted model, not a curated record. NCBI's taxonomy places the organism in Eukaryota, Metazoa, Chordata, Mammalia, Primates, Lorisidae.
AUGCUGGCUUCAGCAGCACAUAUACUACAAUUGGAGCGAUACAGAGAAGAUUAGUGUGGCCCCUGCACAAGGAUGACACGCAGAUUCGUGAAGUGUUCCGUAUUUUU